RNAcentral lists this ribosomal RNA (114 nucleotides) under uncultured bacterium. RNAcentral describes it as "partial 16S ribosomal RNA". It matches the Rfam family "Bacterial small subunit ribosomal RNA", at positions 1360 to 1482 of the family's 1533-position model. The record is from RNAcentral.
CGGUGAAUACGUUCCCGGGCCUUGUACACACCGCCCGUCAAGCCAUGGAAGCUGGGUGUACCUAAAGUCGAUAACCGCAAGGAGUCGCCUAGGGUAAAACUAGUAACUGGGGCU